UACGUAGGUGGCAAGCGUUGUCCGGAAUUAUUGGGCGUAAAGCGCGCGCAGGCGGUCCUUUAAGUCUGAUGUGAAAUCUCGUGGCUUAACCACGAGCGGUCAUUGGAAACUGGGGGACUUGAGUACAGAAGAGGAGAGUGGAAUUCCACGUGUAGCGGUGAAAUGCGUAGAGAUGUGGAGGAACACCAGUGGCGAAGGCGGCUCUCUGGUCUGUGACUGACGCUGAGGUGCGAAAGCGUGGGUAGCGAACAGG
This 253-nucleotide ribosomal RNA is filed under the name uncultured Lentibacillus sp. RNAcentral describes it as "partial 16S ribosomal RNA". It matches the Rfam family "Bacterial small subunit ribosomal RNA", at positions 524 to 776 of the family's 1533-position model. The record is from RNAcentral. Lineage: Bacteria; Bacillati; Bacillota; Bacilli; Caryophanales; Bacillaceae.